UAAACAUGAGGUGGCAGAUUGAGAAGGCUCAAAGGAUAUUGAGGGGACACGUAGAAGAAGGAAAGAAAAGAGAAAUGGAAAGAGUAUUGGGAAAAGAGGAGAUUUUGGGGAGGAACUCUUCUGUAUCGGUGGUCGGUGGAGUUGUUGUUCUGGAGAUGGAUCUCACUGUUGGUUCUGGAUAUUAAUCUCACUCUACAACUACUACCGAAUCAAGAAAUCCCAAAUUCUUCAAUUGGGCCUUCAUGCCUUUAUUAUAAGUUUAAGUGGAAGAUGCAACUUUGCCGAGUUGUACAAUCCUUAAUUCUUCUCUCAUGGGUUCUGUAACACCCAUGAAUUGGUGUUAGUCCCACAUUGCCAAGAAAGUGGUUGUAUUGGUAGUAUAUAGAGCUUAACCAUACUCUAACUAAUGUCAAGGCCUUUUGGGGUGAACCACAUGGGUGGGCCCUGAUCCAAAACCCUCUACUGCUGGAUAUCCACAGUGACUAAGGGGGACAAUAUUGACAUUAGCGAGCAGUAUGGUGCUCGACGCACUGGGAUGAGCGAGGACGAAAUCCCGGGGCGUUACAGUUGGUAUCAGAGCUGACGACAGGUCGCCUGUUGCAUGUGGGAGUACGCUGGAAGACCCAGGGAGCGCCAGGUACUUGUCUCACUUGGCAGGGAACGUCGGAGAUUUUGGGACUGUACUGAGUGUACUGCAGAGCUGAGGACGGCUCUAUUUCUAAGGUGGUGAGAUUGUAACACCCAUGAGUUGGUGUUAGUCCCACAUUGCCAAGAAAGUGGUUGUAUUGGUAGUAUAUAGAGCUUAACCAUACUCUAACUAAUGUCAAGGCCUUUUGGGGUGAACCACAUGGGUGGGCCCUGAUCCAAAACCCUCUACUGCUGGAUAUCCGCAAUGACUAAAGGGGGACAAUAUUGACAUUAGCGAGCAGUAUGGUGCUCGACGCACUGGGAUGAGCGAGGACGAAAUCCCGGGGCGUUACAGUAUUGUAACACCCAUGAGUUGGUGUUAGUCCCACAUUGCCAAGGAAGUGGCUCUAUUGGUAGUAUAUAGAGCUUAACCAUACUUUAACUAAUGUCAAAGGCCUUUUGGGGUGAACCACAUGGGUAGGCCCUGAUCCAAAACCCUCUACUGCUGGAUAUCCGCAGUGACUAAAGGGGGACAAUAUUGACAUUAGCGAGUGGUAUGGUGCUCGACGCACCGGGAUGAGCGAGGACGAAAUCCCGGGGCGUUACAGUUGGUAUCAGAGCUGACGACGGGUCGCCUGUUGCAGGUGGGAAGUACGCUGGAAAGGCCCAGGGAGCGCCAGGUACUUUUCUACGGCUCUAUUUCUAAGGUGGUAAGAUUGUAACACCCAUGAGUUGGUGUUAGUCCCACAUUGCCAAGGAAGUGGCUCUAUUGGUAGUAUAUAGAGCUUAACCAUACUUUAACUAAUGUCAAAGGCCUUAUGGGGUGAACCACAUGGGUGGGCCCUGAUCCAAAACCCUCUACUGCUGGAUAUCCGCAGUGACUAAAGGGGGACAAUAUUGACAUUAGGGAGCGGUAUGGUGCUCGACGCACCGGGAUGAGCGAGGACGAAAUCCCGGGGCGUUACAGUUGGUAUCAGAGCUGACGACGGGUCGCCUGUUGCAGGUGGGAAGUACGCUGGAAAGGCCCAAGGAGCGCCAGGUACUUGUCUCACUUGGCAGGGAACGUCGGAGAUUUUGGGACUGUAUUGAGUGUACUGCAGAGCCGAGGACGGCUCUAUUUCUAAGGUGGUGAGAUUGUAACACCCAUGAGUUGGUGUUAGUCCCACAUUGCCAAGAAAGUGGUUGUAUUGGUAGUAUAUAGAGCUUAACCAUACUCUAACUAAUGUCAAGGCCUUUUGGGGUGAACCACAUGGGUGGGCCCUGAUCCAAAACCCUCUACUGCUGGAUAUCCGCAGUGACUAAAGGGGGACAAUAUUGACAUUAGCGAGCAGUAUUGGUGCUCGACGCACUGGGAUGAGCGAGGACGAAAUCCCGGGGCGUUACAGGUUCAAUGUCGCAGGUUCUGAUUCAGAAAUCUGCAAUCAAGCCAAAGUUAAACACUGUAAGUAUAUUCUUAACUUGUUAUCAAAUUGAUUCUUUUUGUAAUCCGAUUGAGUUCAGAAAUAUUUUGCCUUGGUUAAUAUAUUGUGUAUUGAAUUGAUUGGAUAGAAGAAUUGUUAUUUGUUGGUAUAAAAUGUUUUAUUUGAUUUGAUAUGAGUUUGAUAUGGGAUAUAUAUACAUUAAUAAUUGGAUUCAUAUAUUAUUUUCGAAAGCAUAUGGUGGUUUAUAUUGAUUUUAUUAUCAUGCCUCAAAAUGGGUCUUUUAGGGUUUUCAGGGCGUGACAACUUCCUUGUGAUUCAACCUUUUAUUGGAUUCAUGGAAGUAAUAUUGCUCGCAACUAUAAGGAGCUAAAAAUCCCGGUAUGUUAGGAUAUCCAGCAUCUACCACGUAAUAUUGACCUACAAUUAAAAAAAAAUUAAUGUCAAUAUAACUCGAAGUACUAAUUCCUUUCUGUACAAAGUAAUUCAAAACGUAUUGAACACUAUCAAAGUAAUUUAUUCGGUGGAGACGCAAUAAAAGCCUUGAAGUGGAAACUCGUGUGAAAACUAUCGACAUAUUUAAGGACUAUAAAAGCCUGCACAAUAGCAUUCAUGUACAGGACCAUAAAGCUUGCACAAUAUUGAAGGACUAUAAAAACUUGUAGUUCUGACAAUUGAAAAGGAAGUACAACUGUUAUGCUACAGUAAUAUCUAAUGACAAGAAAGAAAAAAAAUAAAUGCCAAAUCUACCAAUACAAAUCACAAGAGCAUGGAUAACUGACUCAUCUUGCAAGUAAAGAUGAGUCAAAUAAAAUGACAGCGUUGGUUGUGGGUUUAAAUGCUACAAUCUUUUUUCAAUAACAUUCCAAUGACAGAAGAGAUAAUUUUAACUGUCCCAUGUUAGAGUUCAUAUCAAUAUUUCUAUUAGCAUGAACGCUUGCCUCCAUGGAAGUAACAUUACCAACAUUGAUUAAUUACAUGUUGUCUUCCAAAUAACUACUUAUUUUUAUUUAUUGAGCUGCAAGCCAUCAACCAUGGACUGCAACUUGUCUCCCCACUAGGUAAGCCUAAAACACCACUAAACGUAUUAAUUAAUCACAUGUUGUUAGAAUUUUUCUUACCUUCACUAGGAAGUGGAAAAUUAUUUUUUGGCCUUGUCAAUGCAUAAGAAAGACACAAGAAUCAUGGGCAGUCCCAUCCCAUUCAGUGUAUACAAAAGUGAACAUCAUAUCUUAAGAACAAGUAGCCAUGACAUUUUGGGUGAUAAGUGCUGACUUUUUACCACGAAAAGUUGAAUGCUUAGAUGUCGGAGAUCAAGCUGCUACAUGAGUAUCAUCCAACACUCCAAUACAAUCCUCUGACAAGAUAUACAAGUUAAUCACUAUGCAAAGUGACUUACAGUUCCAUAAUAAUUCUAUGACAAGAUAAACAAUUGAAUCACUAUGUAAAUGACUUCCAGUUACAUGAUAAGUAUGGAUACCAUUUUUGGAUUACUCAGAAUUUCUGGUUGCACCGGUCCUCUAUUCACUAGCCUAAUCAAAUGAGUGCCUAAAGCUGUUAAUGCUCUAAUUGUCCCUUUACACCAAUAGUGCAUUGUAGCAGAUGAAUGUUGAAAUCUCUCAGCUACAACUCUUUGUGUUACCCCAUGGCACAAAAUUGCCAACCCCAUUGCCAAACAUUUCUCUACACUAACAUCUUUACAAUUUUGUAGUAAACCCAUCAUUUUCAACCUAUUACACAAAUUUCUAAACACGUGUGGCCUCAUACGAAAACCUUCGUAACAUCUUGUGGGAUUUUCAACUAAUAUUUCAAGAAUGUAUUUCUUGCCACUAAGCAUAGAUGCCCUACAAGGAAUCUUGUCCACGAAAAAACUUUCACAUUCAAGAAUAUAUCUCACCAUAAGUAAAUCUAUCAUAUCAUCAUCAUAAUCAUCAUCACUGGAACUGGAAUCACUACAUGAUGAACCUUGCAUAGAACUGCUAGUCAAAUCUUGUGCCAUUUCACUGCAUUACGAUUAGAAAGAGUGUUAAUCAUUCACUACAAGAAAAUCAGUUUAUUGGGACGGACCUACGACUGCCUUAGCCGCGGUCCGGGUCUAUAGCAAAAUUAGCCACGGUUGAUUUCCGUGGCAAAUGUUAUAAAGCCGUGGCAAAAUCUUGAUCAAAUAUUUAAGAUUGUUGGGAAAAUUUCCUACAGUUAUGAACCAUGGGAACGAAGUGAGUAUGGACCGUAUGAUUCUUGUUUCUUAUCUCGAGAUUUAUCUACAGUCAAUACAAUUUGGUUAAACAAAUAACGAAAAGAAAAAAAAAAAAAAAAGAGAGAGAGAAAAAACGAAAAGCUUUCUUCCUUUUGAGAAAUCAAAAUCAGGAAUCGAAGAACCCUAUCAUCUUCUCUGUUGAUUUUGAGAAAUUGCCACCUUUCUUCAGAAAUCGUUCAGAAAUCGAAGAAGCCUAUCAUUCAGAGUCUCAAUUUCUGAAAUUGAGAACCCUAUCAUCUUCUCUGUUGAUUUUGAGAAAUUGCAAAGUCUCAAUUUGAGAUCGCAAUCAUCUUCUUUGUUGAAACCUUAUCAUCUUCAACUUGCAAAUUCGGUUGAAUCGACUUUUGGUAUAAUUUCUGCUGAAUCGACUUUUGGUGUACUUCACAUGUAAUUUCUUAUAAUUCUUCAAUAAAUUUGUUUAUCUUUUUAAUUUUUAAUUUUGGUGGUGGUUUGUUUUGUUUAUAUUUUCAUUUUUUUUUUCUUUUCGAAAAUCCAUGCUAGUAUAUUUGAUAAUGUUCACAUGGUAUUCAAGUUUCACAUCACUCUAGCUUUAUGGUUUUCGUAGUAUCGAGAUUUUGGUAAAUUAUAUACAGUAGUAGGGUAUUUGUCCAUUUUCAUUGAAGUGAGGAUACCUUAUGGCUUAAGUAUUUACAAACUACUAGGUACUAUUUUUCUUAUACUUUGGCAUGUAUUUAACAAAGUUAUAUAUAUAGUCCAAAAUUCUUCAACCAAGCAGUGAUAUCGAUUCUUUGAUAAAUGGCAAAAAUUUGUCCAUUUAGUACUAUAAAGAUAUUAUCACCUAUCGACAAACCAAAAAUUUAGAAUUGGACAGACAAUGAAAUCUUUGGUUUCUAUUACUUGUAUAAGGCUGAAUGUGGGAAUUAUUGUCGUAUUAUGAUAAUGGUGUAUGAUAGUAACUAGAAGAAACUAGCGAGCUCAGUUUUUUCAAAUUUCAUUAUUUUGCGCAAAAAUAGUUUUAGGGUUAAGUGUAAUUUGUAGAUGAUAAACACUGUAUGUACUUGACAUUCACCAUGGUUUUUACUUGUAUUGUUUGUUAAAGGGUUUCUUUGAUUCUGUCUGUGUGUGAUUUUGCUCCAAUGAUUUCGAGUUUGAGCUCAUCCAAUAAUUUCAUUCCUGGAUGCCUGGAUUUUGUUUGGUUUUGUAUUACUCGAGUGAUGAUGGUACCUGUGCUGAGCAUUAAUACCCUGAAUGAUCUACAAGUAGUAGUAGUAGAUUCAUGUUUAAUAAUUUCGCAGGUAAUUUUCUUAUAAUUCUCUCAUAGCGCUUAUGAGCAGGGUCCCAUCAUGGAUCUCUCACACCUUACUAGUGGUGACUACCACGUGCUUGAAAUAUUGAAUGAACCCAGGAUUUUUAUUGAGGGGUUCAGGUCGACAUAUGCGAGAUACCUAUAGACAACAUAUUUCUGUACGGAUAAUUCUACUAUAAUUCAUAUGAUACUUGCUGACUUCUGGGAGUUCCAUUAUCUAGACUCCAGUGCACUUACUUUCCCCAGAUACAAUUCAUGGGACAGUCCAUCAUCUCAAUCGUUAUUGGUCCCAUCUCCAAAUCUAGUGAAGGACCUUCAGUUUGUUCUUUGCUGCCCUGGCAGGCUAGGAUUUCCUCACCACAUUUCAGGUUGGUCAUCAUAGAUUGUCUCUCCAUCUGCUUGUGUGGUGAAGCAUGUUUGUCCUAAUAGAAGGGCCAUUCUAAAAGAAUUUAUCAUACCUUCUUUUAAUAUUUUCUACUAGCGCGGUUGGCCAAAUGUAAUGGACUAGUUGAUGGGUAAUCAGCACAAGAUUGAAUGUAUAAAUUGAGACCUUCCUGCCCAGAAGAUAUGUCUAGACAAGCGCUAAAGGCCUAAAAAUUAUUUGAUAGCUGGAGGUUGAAAAUGAAGACCACAAGUUGUGCUUCAUCCAAUUCCAAUGACAUCCUUCCUGCCAUGACUAUUGAAGUUCAAUGUCAC
This 6265-nucleotide long non-coding RNA is filed under the name Aquilegia coerulea. RNAcentral describes it as "long non-coding RNA (ACOE_LNC001708)". The record is from RNAcentral. Lineage: Eukaryota; Viridiplantae; Streptophyta; Magnoliopsida; Ranunculales; Ranunculaceae.